GUGAGGAGCAAACAGUGGCAUUCAAUGUAGAGUCAUUUCAUUCCUAUUUGAAGUCCCGAAAACGUGUAUGGGGUCGGGGAGACCCCUCCAGGAGGAAGGAUGCUGAGGCCAUGAAAGGUUUCUUUGUGAGUGGGCCAUCUCUUUCCUCUUCUCUCUUAUACUUCAUCAGAGGGUUUGCAAUGACUGCUUGAGAAUUCAGAGCCAAAUAUCUGGCCCACAACUGGAAAGCGAAAAGGACAAUGCACCAGGAGAGCUCUGCCCUGCUGGGAACCAGGCCUUUCCCUCUGCGGGUGGCUGCUGGCCACCCCGGGCCCUUGGAGCUGCAAAGUGUAUAGAUCCUGUUCUGAGGUCAGGAAGCAGAACUGCAUGGGCCCCCAAGCCUCACAAGAUCCCUCUGUUCCACGAACACACACGUCCACUUGACAUCCCAGUCUGGAGUCUCUACAUCACAUCACAGGCUGGUCCGGAGAGGGGAGAGUGCCUGUGGGUUCACCUGAAUGAUCUGCAGUUUCUCAAGGCAUGAGGACUGAAACUGGGGCUGCUGAGGUUGCAUCCUCUCAGGCCUCCUGACCCCGAGACAUCCAGGAAUUCCUGCUUGGGGUUGAAGAGAUCCCCCUUCCACCUGACCCUACGGGAAAAAAUAAACUUUCCAAAGGCGGGUUUGCACCAAC
RNAcentral lists this long non-coding RNA (671 nucleotides) under Equus asinus (donkey). Its description in RNAcentral is "lncRNA (ENSEASG00005032960.1)". The record is from RNAcentral. Lineage: Eukaryota; Metazoa; Chordata; Mammalia; Perissodactyla; Equidae.